This 463-nucleotide ribosomal RNA is filed under the name uncultured bacterium. RNAcentral's name for it is "partial 16S ribosomal RNA". It matches the Rfam family "Bacterial small subunit ribosomal RNA", at positions 339 to 795 of the family's 1533-position model. The record is from RNAcentral.
CUACGGGCUGCACCAGUAGGGAAUUUUCGGCAAUGGACGAAAGUCUGACCGAGCAAUGCCGCGUGAAUGAAGACGGUCUUCGGAUUGUAAAGUUCUGUUAAUGGGAAAGAACACUUAGUAUAGGAAAUGAUACUAAGAUGACGGUACCCAUUUAGAAAGCCCCGGCUAACUACGUGCCAGCAGCCGCGGUAAUACGUAGGGGGCAAGCGUUAUCCGGAAUUAUUGGGCGUAAAGAGUGCGUAGGCGGUUUAUUAAGUCAGUCGUAAAAGAUCUCAGCCUAACUGAGUAGGGCGAUUGAAACUGGUAGACUUGAGUAUGGUAGAGGUAAGUGGAAUUCCAAGUGUAGCGGUGGAAUGCGUAGAUAUUUGGAGGAACACCAAUGGCGAAGGCAGCUUACUGGGCCAGAACUGACGCUGAGGCACGAAAGCGUGGGGAGCAAACAGGAUUAGAUACCCCAGUAGUC